This 76-nucleotide transfer RNA is filed under the name Pseudomonas putida. RNAcentral's name for it is "tRNA-Ala". It matches the Rfam family "tRNA". Rfam says of the family: Transfer RNA (tRNA) molecules are approximately 80 nucleotides in length. Their secondary structure includes four short double-helical elements and three loops (D, anti-codon, and T loops). Lineage: Bacteria; Pseudomonadati; Pseudomonadota; Gammaproteobacteria; Pseudomonadales; Pseudomonadaceae. The record is from RNAcentral.
GGGGCCAUAGCUCAGAUGGGAGAGCGCCUGCCUUGCACGCAGGAGGUCAGCGGUUCGAUCCCGCUUGGCUCCACCA